CUAAGGUAGCAUAAUCAUUUGUUAUUUAAUUGGUAACUGGAAUGAAAGGUUAAACUAGCUUAUUAAGUUUGUGGGGCUAAAUAGGAGCUUAAAGUUAAGGUAAGAAUGCUUUAAUUUUUUAGGGGACGAUAAGACCCUAGAAGCUUAACGAGAGGGUUGUUUUGUUUUAUAAAUUUGUUCGUUUUACUGGGGCGGUAAAAAUAAUUAAGCUAUUUGUUAUUUAAAGGAUCCUUAAAAUAAAGAAAAAAUGGAGAAGUUACUCUAGGGAUAA
This 271-nucleotide ribosomal RNA is filed under the name Gammarus balcanicus. RNAcentral's name for it is "partial 16S ribosomal RNA". Lineage: Eukaryota; Metazoa; Arthropoda; Malacostraca; Amphipoda; Gammaridae. The record is from RNAcentral.